Molecule: small nuclear RNA, 186 nt
Organism: Pomacea canaliculata
Lineage: Eukaryota; Metazoa; Mollusca; Gastropoda; Architaenioglossa; Ampullariidae
Product: U2 spliceosomal RNA
Exons: 1
Source: RefSeq, a predicted model, not a curated record
GUCGCUUUUUUUAUGCCAUGAGUGAAACUCAGUCGUCGUUAUUAUCAGCGUAAUAUCUGAUACGUCCCCCACAUGUGGGACUUCGAUAUUACACUGAUUUAGAGAACAUGACGGAGGGUUAGGGACUUGCUCCACCUCUGCCAAGGGUCGGCCUGGUGAUGAACCUCCAGGAUUGGCCCACUCCCC